RNAcentral lists this long non-coding RNA (210 nucleotides) under Ananas comosus (pineapple). RNAcentral describes it as "long non-coding RNA (ACOM_LNC025222)". Lineage: Eukaryota; Viridiplantae; Streptophyta; Magnoliopsida; Poales; Bromeliaceae. The record is from RNAcentral.
AGUGUUAAUUUAAGAUAUUUAACUCUUUGAAAAGCAACUGACUGUUCCUAAAGCAAAUGGUAAAAAACUUGAUGGUUGGAACUCGAGACCCAACUUCGAACUUAGUUGAUUCACAUUGUCAAUUAAAUUUAUUUCUAAAUGAAAUAAACAAAGCAGGUAGCGUGCUAUCUAUCUCUCUCAAAAAAAAAAAAAAAAAAAACUCCUUGAAAA